This is an RNA transcript of Telopea speciosissima, 856 nucleotides long. RefSeq lists it as uncharacterized. The transcript is spliced from 3 exons. The record is from RefSeq and is a predicted model, not a curated record. Lineage: Eukaryota; Viridiplantae; Streptophyta; Magnoliopsida; Proteales; Proteaceae.
CUCCAAUCCAUCUCAAGCUCACCAUGGCUCUAUCGAUCAGAAGAAGAAUAAUAAUAGAGGAGUGGUGAUCAAGAAACGAUUGAAAUCGUCGGAAGAGAAGGGAAGAAAUCAGGAAACGGAAAGGGGGGAGAGAUAUGGUUUUCAGCAGUGUUCUAGUGUUAGCUGUAGCGAACCUAUCGGCGGAUGUGUGCCAAUACAUAGCUUGUAAUCCGGAGAGACUGAGCAGCCAGCAAGUGUUGGAGCUCGUUUGUUGCAUCCCUUUGCAACAGUUGGGCCGUCUUGCUCUUUGUUUGUGGACUUUCUUCUGCUUACCGCCUCCCGAUUCUUACUACCGUUACUCUUCCGAUGAUUCCGAUUCGUCUGGUUCCGAUCUCGACAGCGACGAUUCACAUUCAGAUUGAUUCUGUAUUUUCUGUAUGGAUUUGCACAGGGUUGGUUCGGUAGUCAUUGUUUGGAGGAAGACAUUUCGGUUCUUCAUGGUAGUUACAUGAAAAAAACAGGCGGUUGUUGUAUUGAGAAGUUUGUGGAAGUUAUUGUAACGAAGGUUGGUAGAUUUUCUAGGGAAGAAGUUAUCUGGAGCUAUAUUUUCAUGGAGGUGGCUGUUUGUUCUGGAUUUGACUCAGGUCUGUGAGAACCAGCAAUUUUGCUACUCAGGCCUUCAAGCAACCAUGCUUCCCAGUGAGGGCAAUUGGCUAUUAUAUGUGGACCCAUCUGAGUUGUUCUUUGUGUUCUCUACCUCAGUAUCUCUCGUUGUCAGCAAUCCUAGAAGAGCUCAAGAACUUCUCUUGCGAAUGAAAGUGUUGAUUUUUCUUUUGUUUAUCCUCUCUUGCAGGGAAGAACAAAUUAUGCACUUGAA